CUUCUCGCACGUACGUCUCAUAUGCAUCUUCUUUUUUCCUGACUGAAUUAGAGUGGUUUGCUCUUUUGGGACGUUUUAGGCUUCUUAUUGCAGGUGAUUCAUGUUCUGUUCAUGGUUUUUGGAUUAUGCGAUUAGUUUUACUUGAUGGGCUGGUGAAUUACCUGAAUUGAAUAUCCAGGAGUGAUUGAACUCGAACUCAUGAGUUCUUGAAAACCUGUGUAUAACUAAGGCCAUACCCAUGGUGAUAGUGUUGUGUGCAUACAUGUAUGUAUGUCCCUGAAAUUUAUGAGAAGGUGGAAGGUGGAUUAUUAUCGAACUGUCCCCAUAGACGUUUUCUUGUGGAAAAUUCUGUGAAUUAGCUUUCAGGAAUAGUAAUCCGAAAUUAUCAACUUUGGAUUCAUACCUUUUAGAAGUUUGGUAUUCAUGUUUGUGUAUAUGUAUAUAUGCAUAUAUCAGAUCUCACCUGCCAAAGUUUCCUUGCAGGAGAUUUUGAUGAAUGUGUGUGGAUUGGUUAGGAUCAUUGAAUUCUGAUAGUUCUUAACACUGCAACUCUUAGGUCUUCUUGAUUGGCUUGAAACUUAGUUCGAAUCUGCCUCUGUUUUUUUCUUCUUCUGAAUUUGCUUGACUGAUUAGGAUAGUCAGUUUCAUUAGUAAAUUGAUUGGAUCUUUCCUCCAUGCAUCUUUUGCGUUCUUGCUGUUGGGUAUAUCCAAUGUUCUUCUUUUAUAGAUUUCCGAUAAUAUGUCAUAGUAUUCCUUCCGUUUCACAAAGUGCUUUUUGAGUUCAUGUGGUGGGGAAUGUCGAGGGGAAUAGAGCAGCUUAUGGUGGGGAGAGUGGUUGGAGAUGUAAUAGAGAGGUUCAGCCCAAGCGUGGCGAUGAGAGUCACUUAUAACCUCGACAAGCAUGUCGCCAAUGGCCACGAGCUCAUGCCUUCCUCCCUUACCCAUAAGCCUCGCGUCGAGAUUGGCGGAGACGAUAUGUGAUCUUUUUAUACUUUAAUAAUGGUAGACCCCGAUGCUCUGAGCCUUAGUGAUCCAUAUCUACGAGAAUACCUGCAUUGUGCUUUUUCGGGGGAGGAGGAGGAGAGGAGUAGUAAUAGUUGGCGGAGGCAAAGUCUAGAGAGAUUGUAAAGACAAGCAAAGAUGCUAAGAGAGAAGCCAUUGAUGGAGAACCCAUCUUUUCCACAAGAGACAGGUUUUGGGUUUUGUGCUCUUUCUUUGUUCCCUUCACAUCCUUUAUAUAGAUUCUUGGAUUUAUCCUUUUCCCACUUUGAUCCCUCGUGGUAAAAAUUGCAAUUUUUUAUUUUACAUUUUUUAUUUUACA
This is a long non-coding RNA of Tarenaya hassleriana, 1321 nucleotides long. RefSeq lists it as uncharacterized. The transcript is spliced from 3 exons. NCBI's taxonomy places the organism in Eukaryota, Viridiplantae, Streptophyta, Magnoliopsida, Brassicales, Cleomaceae. The record is from RefSeq and is a predicted model, not a curated record.